GGGUUGUGAGGUUAAGCGACUAAGCGUACACGGUGGAUGCCCUGGCAGUCAGAGGCGAUGAAGGGCGUGCUAAUCUGCGAUAAGCGCCGGUAAGGUGAUAUGAACCGUUAUAACCGGCGAUACCCGAAUGGGGAAACCCAGUGUGACUCGUCACACUAUCAUUAACUGAAUCCAUAGGUUAAUGAGGCGAACCGGGGGAACUGAAACAUCUAAGUACCCCGAGGAAAAGAAAUCAACCGAGAUUCCCCCAGUAGCGGCGAGCGAACGGGGAGGAGCCCAGAGCCUGAAUCAGCAUGUGUGUUAGUGGAAGCGUCUGGAAAGGCGCGCGAUACAGGGUGACAGCCCCGUACACAAAAGCGCAUGUGCUGUGAGCUCGAUGAGUAGGGCGGGACACGUGGUAUCCUGUCUGAAUAUGGGGGGACCAUCCUCCAAGGCUAAAUACUCCUGACUGACCGAUAGUGAACCAGUACCGUGAGGGAAAGGCGAAAAGAACCCCGGCGAGGGGAGUGAAAAAGAACCUGAAACCGUGUACGUACAAGCAGUGGGAGCACCCUUUGGGGUGUGACUGCGUACCUUUUGUAUAAUGGGUCAGCGACUUAUAUUCUGUAGCAAGGUUAACCGAAUAGGGGAGCCGGAGGGAAACCGAGUCUUAAUUGGGCGUUAAGUUGCAGGGUAUAGACCCGAAACCCGGUGAUCUAGCCAUGGGCAGGUUGAAGGUUGGGUAACACUAACUGGAGGACCGAACCGACUAAUGUUGAAAAAUUAGCGGAUGACCUGUGGCUGGGGGUGAAAGGCCAAUCAAACCGGGAGAUAGCUGGUUCUCCCCGAAAGCUAUUUAGGUAGCGCCUCGUGAAUUCAUCUCCGGGGGUAGAGCACUGUUUCGGCUAGGGGGCCAUCCCGGCUUACCAACCCGAUGCAAACUGCGAAUACCGGAGAAUGUUAUCACGGGAGACACACGGCGGGUGCUAACGUCCGUCGUGAAGAGGGAAACAACCCAGACCGCCAGCUAAGGUCCCAAAGUCAUGGUUAAGUGGGAAACGAUGUGGGAAGGCCCAGACAGCCAGGAUGUUGGCUUAGAAGCAGCCAUCAUUUAAAGAAAGCGUAAUAGCUCACUGGUCGAGUCGGCCUGCGCGGAAGAUGUAACGGGGCUAAACCAUGCACCGAAGCUGCGGCAGCGACGCUGAUGCGUUGUUGGGUAGGGGAGCGUUCUGUAAGCCUGCGAAGGUGGCCUGUGAGGGUUGCUGGAGGUAUCAGAAGUGCGAAUGCUGACAUAAGUAACGAUAAAGCGGGUGAAAAGCCCGCUCGCCGGAAGACCAAGGGUUCCUGUCCAACGUUAAUCGGGGCAGGGUGAGUCGACCCCUAAGGCGAGGCCGAAAGGCGUAGUCGAUGGGAAACGGGUUAAUAUUCCCGUACUUGGUGUUACUGCGAAGGGGGGACGGAGAAGGCUAUGUUGGCCGGGCGACGGUUGUCCCGGUUUAAGCGUGUAGGUGUGUGUUCCAGGUAAAUCCGGUUCACUUUAACACUGAGGCGUGAUGACGAGGCACUACGGUGCUGAAGCAACAAAUGCCCUGCUUCCAGGAAAAGCCUCUAAGCAUCAGGUAACAUCAAAUCGUACCCCAAACCGACACAGGUGGUCAGGUAGAGAAUACCAAGGCGCUUGAGAGAACUCGGGUGAAGGAACUAGGCAAAAUGGUGCCGUAACUUCGGGAGAAGGCACGCUGACACGUAGGUGAAGUGAUUUACUCAUGGAGCUGAAGUCAGUCGAAGAUACCAGCUGGCUGCAACUGUUUAUUAAAAACACAGCACUGUGCAAACACGAAAGUGGACGUAUACGGUGUGACGCCUGCCCGGUGCCGGAAGGUUAAUUGAUGGGGUCAGCGCAAGCGAAGCUCCUGAUCGAAGCCCCGGUAAACGGCGGCCGUAACUAUAACGGUCCUAAGGUAGCGAAAUUCCUUGUCGGGUAAGUUCCGACCUGCACGAAUGGCGUAAUGAUGGCCAGGCUGUCUCCACCCGAGACUCAGUGAAAUUGAACUCGCUGUGAAGAUGCAGUGUACCCGCGGCAAGACGGAAAGACCCCGUGAACCUUUACUAUAGCUUGACACUGAACAUUGAGCCUUGAUGUGUAGGAUAGGUGGGAGGCUUUGAAGUGUGGACGCCAGUCUGCAUGGAGCCGACCUUGAAAUACCACCCUUUAAUGUUUGAUGUUCUAACGUGGACCCGUGAUCCGGGUUGCGGACAGUGUCUGGUGGGUAGUUUGACUGGGGCGGUCUCCUCCUAAAGAGUAACGGAGGAGCACGAAGGUUGGCUAAUCCUGGUCGGACAUCAGGAGGUUAGUGCAAUGGCAUAAGCCAGCUUGACUGCGAGCGUGACGGCGCGAGCAGGUGCGAAAGCAGGUCAUAGUGAUCCGGUGGUUCUGAAUGGAAGGGCCAUCGCUCAACGGAUAAAAGGUACUCCGGGGAUAACAGGCUGAUACCGCCCAAGAGUUCAUAUCGACGGCGGUGUUUGGCACCUCGAUGUCGGCUCAUCACAUCCUGGGGCUGAAGUAGGUCCCAAGGGUAUGGCUGUUCGCCAUUUAAAGUGGUACGCGAGCUGGGUUUAGAACGUCGUGAGACAGUUCGGUCCCUAUCUGCCGUGGGCGCUGGAGAACUGAGGGGGGCUGCUCCUAGUACGAGAGGACCGGAGUGGACGCAUCACUGGUGUUCGGGUUGUCAUGCCAAUGGCACUGCCCGGUAGCUAAAUGCGGAAGAGAUAAGUGCUGAAAGCAUCUAAGCACGAAACUUGCCCCGAGAUGAGUUCUCCCUGAGACUU
Molecule: ribosomal RNA, 2808 nt
Filed under: Salmonella enterica subsp. enterica serovar Rubislaw
Lineage: Bacteria; Pseudomonadati; Pseudomonadota; Gammaproteobacteria; Enterobacterales; Enterobacteriaceae
Description: bacterial LSU rRNA
Rfam family: Bacterial large subunit ribosomal RNA
Source: RNAcentral